CCCCACCAUCCUCCAGGGAAGGACAGCGUCCAGGGAAACGUGGGAGUCAGCUCCAAGCCCGGCCCUCGGGAAGCUCAGACACAACAGGAGUGACCGGGUGAGGCUGCAUUCCCAGGAACAGGCACUCACAGAGCAGGUGGCCAGAACCGUGGAGUGCCGGCCCCCGUCAGCACUGAAGUCCCCGGCUCUGCUGAUUCUGAGGCCCCUCUCACCCCAGUCAGUUCCCGGCCUCUCGCCCUCACCGGGGGAUCCAACUCCAAC
This 261-nucleotide long non-coding RNA is filed under the name Urocitellus parryii (Arctic ground squirrel). Its description in RNAcentral is "lncRNA (ENSUPAG00010014971.1)". The record is from RNAcentral. Lineage: Eukaryota; Metazoa; Chordata; Mammalia; Rodentia; Sciuridae.